UACGAAGGGGGCUAGCGUUGCUCGGAAUCACUGGGCGUAAAGGGUGCGUAGGCGGGUCUUUAAGUCAGGGGUGAAAUCCUGGAGCUCAACUCCAGAACUGCCUUUGAUACUGAAGAUCUUGAGUUCGGGAGAGGUGAGUGGAAUUCCCGGUGUAGCGGUGAAAUGCGCAGAUAUCGGGAAGAACACCCGUGGCGAAGGCGGCUCUCUGGGACGGUACUGACGCUGAGACGCGAAAGCGUGGGGAGCGAACAGG
Molecule: ribosomal RNA, 253 nt
Filed under: uncultured bacterium
Lineage: Bacteria
Description: partial 16S ribosomal RNA
Rfam family: Bacterial small subunit ribosomal RNA
Source: RNAcentral